This 449-nucleotide ribosomal RNA is filed under the name uncultured Methanomicrobiales archaeon. Its description in RNAcentral is "bacterial SSU rRNA". It matches the Rfam family "Archaeal small subunit ribosomal RNA", at positions 890 to 1338 of the family's 1478-position model. Lineage: Archaea; Methanobacteriati; Methanobacteriota; Methanomicrobia; Methanomicrobiales. The record is from RNAcentral.
GGAGCCUGCGGUUUAAUCGGACUCAACGCCGGGAAACUCACCAGAUAAGACAGCUGAAUGAUAGUCGGGCUGAAGACUCUACUUGACUAGCUGAGAGGAGGUGCAUGGCCGUCGUCAGUUCGUACUGUGAAGCAUCCUGUUAAGUCAGGCAACGAGCGAGACCCACGCCAACAGUUGCCAGCUCGUCCUCCGGGAUGGUGGGGACACUGUUGGGACCGCCUCUGCUAAAGAGGAGGAAGGAAUGGGCAACGGUAGGUCAGCAUGCCCCGAAUUAUCUGGGCUACACGCGGGCUACAAUGGGUGGGACAAUGGGUAUCGACACCGAAAGGUGAAGGCAAUCUCCUAAACCCAUCCGUAGUUCGGAUUGUGGGCUGCAACUCGCCCACAUGAAGCUGGAAUCUGUAGUAAUCGUGUCUCAAAAUGGCACGGUGAAUAUGUCCCUGCUCCUU